RNAcentral lists this ribosomal RNA (495 nucleotides) under uncultured bacterium. RNAcentral's name for it is "partial 16S ribosomal RNA". It matches the Rfam family "Bacterial small subunit ribosomal RNA", at positions 28 to 507 of the family's 1533-position model. The record is from RNAcentral.
GACGAACGCUGGCGGCGUGCCUAAUACAUGCAAGUCGAACGCUGAAGGAGGAGCUUGCUUCUCUGGAUGAGUUGCGAACGGGUGAGUAACGCGUAGGUAACCUGCCUGGUAGCGGGGGAUAACUAUUGGAAACGAUAGCUAAUACCGCAUAAUAGUAGAUGUUGCAUGACAUUUGCUUAAAAGGUGCAAUUGCAUCACUACCAGAUGGACCUGCGUUGUAUUAGCUAGUUGGUGGGGUAACGGCUCACCAAGGCGACGAUACAUAGCCGACCUGAGAGGGUGAUCGGCCACACUGGGACUGAGACACGGCCCAGACUCCUACGGGAGGCAGCAGUAGGGAAUCUUCGGCAAUGGACGGAAGUCUGACCGAGCAACGCCGCGUGAGUGAAGAAGGUUUUCGGAUCGUAAAGCUCUGUUGUAAGAGAAGAACGAGUGUGAGAGUGGAAAGUUCACACUGUGACGGUAUCUUACCAGAAGGGGACGGCUAACUACGUG